UACAAUGGUCGGUACAGAGGGUUGCCAACCCGCGACGGGGGAGCUAAUCCCACAAAGCCGAUCGUAGUCCGGAUCGCAGUCUGCAACUCGACUGCGUGAAGUCGGAAUCGCUAGUAAUCGUGGAUCAGCAUGUCACGGUGAAUACGUUCCCGGGCCUU
RNAcentral lists this ribosomal RNA (158 nucleotides) under uncultured Rhodocyclaceae bacterium. RNAcentral describes it as "partial 16S ribosomal RNA". It matches the Rfam family "Bacterial small subunit ribosomal RNA", at positions 1226 to 1382 of the family's 1533-position model. Lineage: Bacteria; Pseudomonadati; Pseudomonadota; Betaproteobacteria; Rhodocyclales; Rhodocyclaceae. The record is from RNAcentral.